Molecule: small nucleolar RNA, 128 nt
Organism: Suncus etruscus (white-toothed pygmy shrew)
Lineage: Eukaryota; Metazoa; Chordata; Mammalia; Eulipotyphla; Soricidae
Product: small nucleolar RNA SNORA51
Exons: 1
Source: RefSeq, a predicted model, not a curated record
GGCCUCCCAAUUCUUACCAUAGGCUGUGUUCUUUACACUGUAUAGAAAGAGGAAGUACAGUAAAUGCACCCAUAUACACCUCAACACAGGCCCUUUGCCUGGUCUGUGUUGUGAAUUGGGGGACAAAA